RNAcentral lists this small nuclear RNA (277 nucleotides) under Chinchilla lanigera (long-tailed chinchilla). RNAcentral describes it as "7SK RNA (ENSCLAG00000021812.1)". It matches the Rfam family "7SK RNA". Rfam says of the family: 7SK was discovered as an abundant small nuclear RNA in the mid-70s but a possible function has only recently been suggested. Two independent studies have found that 7SK RNA binds the CDK9/cyclin T complex (known as elongation factor P-TEFb). P-TEFb activates transcription by phosphorylating the C-terminal domain of RNA polymerase II. Lineage: Eukaryota; Metazoa; Chordata; Mammalia; Rodentia; Chinchillidae. The record is from RNAcentral.
GGAGGGGAGGGUGGUCUGACUGCAGCGUCUGUCACCCCAUUGACCGCCAGGCUUGAGUCAGCUGGUCUUCCUCCCUCAGCACUCUGUGUGCGUCCCUCCUGGAGCUGUGCGCUCAGUUGAAGAGGACGACCAUCCUUGAUAGAGGAGAACCGUUCCUCGGUCAAGGGUAUAUGACUAGCUGUGCUCUUUGGCUAGAACCUCCAUAUCAUAGCUGGGAAGACUUGGAUUUUUCAAAGUUAGUAGUGCAGCAUCUGUCAAAAUGACACUGGGCAUAGCU